GUGGAGCUUUUGCUUAAGAUUUAGAGCACUAGCCUUGAGCGCAAAUGCUCAAGGACAGCACACAAGCUCUUUAAGUUCAAAUCCCAGGACUAGCACCAAAAAGAGUAAUGCAAUAAUAAUUUGGAGAGCUGGAGGAUGUGUGGGCAUUAAAGUGUUAUUUCCCAGCUCUCUCCAUUUUUCUUUUUCAGUGCUGGAAAACGCAG
Perognathus longimembris pacificus (Pacific pocket mouse) is the source of this 203-nucleotide long non-coding RNA. RefSeq lists it as uncharacterized. Lineage: Eukaryota; Metazoa; Chordata; Mammalia; Rodentia; Heteromyidae. The record is from RefSeq and is a predicted model, not a curated record. The transcript has 3 exons.